RNAcentral lists this non-coding RNA (149 nucleotides) under Desulfobulbus sp. Its description in RNAcentral is "FMN sequence". It matches the Rfam family "FMN riboswitch aptamer (RFN element)". From Rfam's summary of the family: The RFN element is a highly conserved domain that is found frequently in the 5'-untranslated regions of prokaryotic mRNAs that encode for flavin mononucleotide (FMN) biosynthesis and transport proteins. This element is a metabolite-dependent riboswitch that directly binds FMN in the absence of proteins. In Bacillus subtilis, the riboswitch most likely controls gene expression by causing premature transcription termination within the 5' untranslated region of the ribDEAHT operon and precluding access to the ribosome-binding site of ypaA mRNA. Lineage: Bacteria; Pseudomonadati; Thermodesulfobacteriota; Desulfobulbia; Desulfobulbales; Desulfobulbaceae. The record is from RNAcentral. RNAcentral also lists the same sequence under 1 other name.
UGCAAUUCUCAGGGCGGGGUGCGAUUCCCCACCGGCGGUAUUCCGGCUGGUCCGGAGAGCCCGCGAGCGCCUGUUGCGAAAGACAGGGUCAAGCAGAUCUGGUGCAAGGCCAGAGCCGACGGUGACAGUCCGGAUGGAAGAGAAUGACA